RNAcentral lists this transfer RNA (72 nucleotides) under Operophtera brumata (winter moth). It matches the Rfam family "tRNA". Rfam says of the family: Transfer RNA (tRNA) molecules are approximately 80 nucleotides in length. Their secondary structure includes four short double-helical elements and three loops (D, anti-codon, and T loops). Lineage: Eukaryota; Metazoa; Arthropoda; Insecta; Lepidoptera; Geometridae. The record is from Rfam by way of RNAcentral.
CAUUCUAUGGCCGAAUUGGUAAAGGCAUCGUCGAUCACGGCGAGGUUGCGGGUUCGAGUCCCGCCGGAACGA